GGAAUUAUUGACAAUGGGGGAAACCCUGAUCAUGCAACGCCGCGUGGAUGAUGAAGUACCUCGGUACGUAAAAUCCUUUCGACAGGGAAGAAACUCUUCGGAGCCGACGGUACCUGUAGAAGAAGCCCCGGCUAACUACGUGCCAGCAGCCGCGGUAAAACGUAGGGGGCCAGCGUUGCUCGGAAUUACUGGGCGUAAAGGGUCUGUAGGCGGUGCGGUAAGUCCGGAGUGAAAUCUCCAGGCUCAACUUGGAGGCUGCUUCGGAAACUGCCGUGCUCGAGUGUGGGAGAGGCGCGUGGAAUUGCAGGUGUAGCGGUGAAAUGCGUAGAUAUCUGCAGGAACACCAGUGGCGAAAGCGGCGCGCUGGACCACAACUGACGCUGAGAGACGAAAGCUAGGGGAGCAAA
RNAcentral lists this ribosomal RNA (407 nucleotides) under uncultured bacterium. RNAcentral describes it as "bacterial SSU rRNA". It matches the Rfam family "Bacterial small subunit ribosomal RNA", at positions 358 to 772 of the family's 1533-position model. The record is from RNAcentral.